This 253-nucleotide ribosomal RNA is filed under the name uncultured bacterium. RNAcentral describes it as "partial 16S ribosomal RNA". It matches the Rfam family "Bacterial small subunit ribosomal RNA", at positions 524 to 776 of the family's 1533-position model. The record is from RNAcentral.
UACGUAGGAUGCAAGCGUCGUCCGGAAUUAUUGGGCGUAAAGAGCGCGCAGGCGGUGUGCCAAGUCAGAUGUGAAAUAUCCCGGCUUAACCGGGAGGGGUCAUUUGAAACUGGUAGACUAGAGUACAGCAGAGGAUAGUGGAAUUCCCGGUGUAGUGGUGAAAUGCGUAGAUAUCGGGAGGAACACCAGUGGCGAAGGCGACUAUCUGGGCUGAAACUGACGCUGAGGCGCGAAGGCUAGGGGAGCAAACAGG